Molecule: ribosomal RNA, 254 nt
Filed under: uncultured bacterium
Lineage: Bacteria
Description: partial 16S ribosomal RNA
Rfam family: Bacterial small subunit ribosomal RNA
Source: RNAcentral
UACGUAGGGUGCGAGCGUUGUCCGGAAUUAUUGGGCGUAAAGAGCUCGUAGGCGGUUGAGUAAGUCGGGUGUGAAAACUCUGGGCUUAACCCAGAGCCGCCACUCGAUACUGAUCUGACUUGAGUUCGGUAGGGGAGCAGGGAAUUCCUAGUGUAGCGGUGAAAUGCGCAGAUAUUAGGAGGAACACCGGUGGCGAAGGCGCUGCUCUGGGCCGAAACUGACGCUGAGGAGCGAAAGCGUGGGUAGCAAACGGG